This 253-nucleotide ribosomal RNA is filed under the name uncultured bacterium. Its description in RNAcentral is "partial 16S ribosomal RNA". It matches the Rfam family "Bacterial small subunit ribosomal RNA", at positions 524 to 776 of the family's 1533-position model. The record is from RNAcentral.
UACGUAGGGUGCGAGCGUUAAUCGGAAUUACUGGGCAUAAAGCGUGCGCAGGCGGUUCGUUAAGUCAGAUGUGAAAGCCCCGGGCUCAACCUGGGAACUGCAUUUGAAACUGGCGGGCUUGAGUGUGGCAGAGGGGGGUGGAAUUCCGCGUGUAGCAGUGAAAUGCGUAGAGAUGCGGAGGAACACCGAUGGCGAAGGCAGCCCCCUGGGCCAACACUGACACUGAGGAGCGAGAGCCAGGGGAGCAAACGGG